UUUGACAGAAGGAAGUGAGAUCCUUUCUGUAGAAAUCAAAAUUCUUUGUGCUCGAACACCGCUGUCAAG
This 69-nucleotide transfer RNA is filed under the name Turritella bacillum. RNAcentral describes it as "tRNA-Gln". Lineage: Eukaryota; Metazoa; Mollusca; Gastropoda; Turritellidae. The record is from RNAcentral.